GAUGAACGCUGACAGAAUGCUUAACACAUGCAAGUCAACUUGAAUUUGGGUUUUUAACUUAGAUUUGGGUGGCGGACGGGUGAGUAACGCGUAAAGAACUUGCCUCACAGCUAGGGACAACAUUUAGAAAUGAAUGCUAAUACCUGAUAUUAUGAUUUUAAGGCAUCUUAGAAUUAUGAAAGCUAUAAGCACUGUGAGAGAGCUUUGCGUCCCAUUAGCUAGUUGGAGAGGUAACAGCUCACCAAGGCGAUGAUGGGUAGCCGGCCUGAGAGGGUGAACGGCCACAAGGGGACUGAGACACGGCCCUUACUCCUACGGGAGGCAGCAGUGGGGAAUAUUGGACAAUGGACCGAGAGUCUGAUCCAGCAAUUCUGUGUGCACGAUGAAGUUUUUCGGAAUGUAAAGUGCUUUCAGUUGGGAAGAAAUAAAUGACGGUACCAACAGAAGAAGUGACGGCUAAAUACGUGCCAGCAGCCGCGGUAAUACGUAUGUCACGAGCGUUAUCCGGAUUUAUUGGGCGUAAAGCGCGUCUAGGUGGUUAUGUAAGUCUGAUGUGAAAAUGCAGGGCUCAACUCUGUAUUGCGUUGGAAACUGUAUAACUAGAGUACUGGAGAGGUAAGCGGAACUACAAGUGUAGAGGUGAAAUUCGUAGAUAUUUGUAGGAAUGCCGAUGGGGAAGCCAGCUUACUGGACAGAUACUGACGCUAAAGCGCGAAAGCGUGGGUAGCAAACAGGAUUAGAUACCCUGGUAGUCCAAGGGCGAAUUCCACAGUGGAUAUCAAGCUUAUCGAUACCGUCGACCUCGAGGGGGGGCCCGGUACCCAAUAUAUUGUUCACUUUAGUGAGGGGUUA
This 852-nucleotide ribosomal RNA is filed under the name uncultured bacterium. RNAcentral's name for it is "bacterial SSU rRNA". It matches the Rfam family "Bacterial small subunit ribosomal RNA". The record is from RNAcentral.